CCUACGGGAGGCAGCAGUGAGGAAUAUUGGUCAAUGGACGAGAGUCUGAACCAGCCAAGCAGCGUGAAGGAUGACUGUCCUAUGGGUUGUAAACCUCUUUUAUAAAGGAAUAAAACGAGGCACGUGUGCCUUUUUGCAUGUACUUUAUGAAUAAGGAUCGGCUAACUCCGUGCCAGCAGCCGCGGUAAUACGGAGGAUCCGAGCGUUAUCCGGAUUUAUUGGGUUUAAAGGGAGCGUAGAUGGGUUGUUAAGUCAGUUGUGAAAGUUUGCGGCUCAACCGUAAAGUUGCAAUUGAUACUGGCAGUCUUGAGUACAGUUGAGGUAGGCGGAAUGCGUGGUGUAGCGGUGAAAUGCUUAGAUAUCACGAAGAACCCCGAUUGCGAAGGCAGCUUACUAAACUGUGACUGACAUUGAGGCUCGAAAGUGUGGGUAUCGAACAGGAUUAGAUACCCCAGUAGUC
This 460-nucleotide ribosomal RNA is filed under the name uncultured bacterium. RNAcentral describes it as "partial 16S ribosomal RNA". It matches the Rfam family "Bacterial small subunit ribosomal RNA", at positions 338 to 795 of the family's 1533-position model. The record is from RNAcentral.